UAACUUAAAUCCAAAAAAAAAAAAGAGGAGAAUUAUUGUUAAUAAUUUAAUUGAAUAAAUUUCUAAGUUAG
RNAcentral lists this transfer RNA (71 nucleotides) under Anastatus formosanus. Its description in RNAcentral is "tRNA-Asn". The record is from RNAcentral. Lineage: Eukaryota; Metazoa; Arthropoda; Insecta; Hymenoptera; Eupelmidae.